This 74-nucleotide transfer RNA is filed under the name uncultured Nitzschia. It matches the Rfam family "tRNA". From Rfam's summary of the family: Transfer RNA (tRNA) molecules are approximately 80 nucleotides in length. Their secondary structure includes four short double-helical elements and three loops (D, anti-codon, and T loops). The record is from RNAcentral. Lineage: Eukaryota; Bacillariophyta; Bacillariophyceae; Bacillariales; Bacillariaceae.
AUGGUGGCCGAGUGGUCUAAGGCGCUGGAUUUAGUCUCCAGUCUGAAAAGGCAUGGGUUCGAAUCCCAUCCAUU